UACGAAGGGGGCUAGCGUUGUUCGGAAUUACUGGGCGUAAAGCGUGCGCAGGCGGUUAUGCAAGUCAGAUGUGAAAUCCCCGGGCUCAACCUGGGAACUGCAUUUGUGACUGCAUGGCUGGAGUGCGGCAGAGGGGGAUGGAAUUCCGCGUGUAGCAGUGAAAUGCGUAGAUAUGCGGAGGAAUACCGAUGGCGAAGGCAGGUCUCUGGGCUGACACUGACGCUCAUGCACGAAAGCGUGGGGAGCAAACAGG
RNAcentral lists this ribosomal RNA (253 nucleotides) under uncultured bacterium. RNAcentral's name for it is "partial 16S ribosomal RNA". It matches the Rfam family "Bacterial small subunit ribosomal RNA", at positions 524 to 776 of the family's 1533-position model. The record is from RNAcentral.